AUUGAACGCUGACGGAAUGCUUUACACAUGCAAGUCGAACGGCAGCACGGACUUCGGUCUGGUGGCGAGUGGCGAACGGGUGAGUAAUGUAUCGGAACGUGCCCAGUCGUGGGGGAUAACGUAGUGAAAAUUACGCUAAUACCGCAUACGACCUAUGGAUGAAAGCGGGGGAUCGCAAGACCUCGCUCGAUUGGAGCGGCCGAUAUCAGAUUAGGUAGUUGGUGGGGUAAAGGCCCACCAAGCCAACGAUCUGUAGCUGGUCUGAGAGGACGACCAGCCACACUGGAACUGAGACACGGUCCAGACUCCUACGGGAGGCAGCAGUGGGGAAUUUUGGACAAUGGGCGAAAGCCUGAUCCAGCCAUUCCGCGUGCAGGAUGAAGGCCCUCGGGUUGUAAACUGCUUUUGUACAGAACGAAAAGGUUUCUACUAAUACUAGGAGCUCAUGACGGUACUGUAAGAAUAAGCACCGGCUAACUACGUGCCAGCCGCCGCGGUAA
RNAcentral lists this ribosomal RNA (500 nucleotides) under uncultured bacterium. Its description in RNAcentral is "partial 16S ribosomal RNA". It matches the Rfam family "Bacterial small subunit ribosomal RNA", at positions 30 to 523 of the family's 1533-position model. The record is from RNAcentral.